RNAcentral lists this small RNA (253 nucleotides) under Meriones unguiculatus (Mongolian gerbil). RNAcentral's name for it is "7SK RNA (ENSMUGG00000026171.1)". It matches the Rfam family "7SK RNA", at positions 3 to 248 of the family's 331-position model. From Rfam's summary of the family: 7SK was discovered as an abundant small nuclear RNA in the mid-70s but a possible function has only recently been suggested. Two independent studies have found that 7SK RNA binds the CDK9/cyclin T complex (known as elongation factor P-TEFb). P-TEFb activates transcription by phosphorylating the C-terminal domain of RNA polymerase II. The record is from RNAcentral. Lineage: Eukaryota; Metazoa; Chordata; Mammalia; Rodentia; Muridae.
AUGUGUGCCUUUCUGCGUGACAUCUGUCACCCUAUUGAUCGCCAGAGAUGAUUUGGCUGGCCAGGCAGAUGUACCUUCCUGCCUUACUGCUCCAGAGGUAUCCCUCUGGAAGUUGUGGGAUCUGUUGAAGAGGAAGACCUCCCUGAAUAGAGGAGGACAAGAGAGUUCUUUGCUCAAGGGUAUACCAAUAGCUGCGCUCCUCUGCUGGCUGGAACCUCCAAGCAAACAUCAGAUCUCUAGGCAGGUUUUUUUU